This 499-nucleotide ribosomal RNA is filed under the name uncultured bacterium. RNAcentral's name for it is "partial 16S ribosomal RNA". It matches the Rfam family "Bacterial small subunit ribosomal RNA", at positions 29 to 507 of the family's 1533-position model. The record is from RNAcentral.
ACGAACGCUGGCGGCGUGCUUAACCCAUGCCAGUCGAACGGGUCUGCCCUGUUUUUUGCGGGGUGGGUCAGUGGCGAACGGGUGAGUAACACGUGAGUAACCUGCCCCUCACUUCUGGAUAACCGCUUGAAAGGGUGGCUAAUACGGGGUGUUCUGGCUGUGCCGCAUGGUGUGGCUGGGAAAGAUUCACUUUUGUGGUGUUUUGGUGGGGGAUGGGCUCGCGGCCUAUCAGCUUGUUGGUGGGGUGAUGGCCUGCCAAGGCUUUGACGGGUAGCCGGCCUGAGAGGGUGGGCGGUCACACUGGGACUGAGAUACGGCCCAGACUCCUGCGGGAGGCAGCAGUGGGGGGUAUUGCACAAUGGGCGGAAGCCUGAUGCAGCGACGUCGCGUGAGGGAUGGAGGCCUUCGGGUUGUGAACCUCUUUCGCCGGUGAAGAAGGUCCUGCUCUUUGUGGUGGGGUUGACGGUAGCCGGGUUAUGAAGCGCCGGCUAACUACGUG